Molecule: ribosomal RNA, 468 nt
Filed under: uncultured bacterium
Lineage: Bacteria
Description: partial 16S ribosomal RNA
Rfam family: Bacterial small subunit ribosomal RNA
Source: RNAcentral
GACGAACGCUGGCGGCGUGCUUAACACAUGCAAGUCGAACGGAAAGGCCCUGCUUUUGUGGGGUGCUCGAGUGGCGAACGGGUGAGUAACACGUGAGUAACCUGCCCUUGACUUUGGGAUAACUUCAGGAAACUGGGGCUAAUACCGGAUAGGAGCUCCUGCUGCAUGGUGGGGGUUGGAAAGUUUCGGCGGUUGGGGAUGGACUCGCGGCUUAUCAGCUUGUUGGUGGGGUAGUGGCUUACCAAGGCUUUGACGGGUAGCCGGCCUGAGAGGGUGACCGGCCACAUUGGGACUGCGAUACGGCCCAGACUCCUACGGGAGGCAGCAGUGGGGAAUCUUGCACAAUGGGCGGAAGCCUGAUGCAGCAACGCCGCGUGCGGGAUGACGGCCUUCGGGUUGUAAACCGCUUUCGCCUGUGACGAAGCGUGAGUGACGGUAAUGGGUAAAGAAGCACCGGCUAACUACGUG